Callithrix jacchus (white-tufted-ear marmoset) is the source of this 1274-nucleotide long non-coding RNA. RefSeq lists it as uncharacterized. Lineage: Eukaryota; Metazoa; Chordata; Mammalia; Primates; Cebidae. The record is from RefSeq and is a predicted model, not a curated record.
UCUCCUCACCAGGCUGUGCAUUCAUCCUCCAGCUACUAGGGGCCUUGGCUGCUAAUGGCUCAGGCCAUUGUUCUUUCACAGAGGAGUGUUGUUGGCUGAGAGGAGCCUCCUCCCCUGGAAGUGGUCCUGGAGAUGAUGGCUGAGAGGUUCCAUUCUCCUGCUGGGGAGCCAGGGCCAAAGAUUCACUGAUGAAGGGAUAUAGCAGCUUCCUUGGCUCUGGGUGGGACAACUUCUGUGUGCCCGCAGGCCGUGUCCAGCCAUGAACUGCAUUUCCCAGCCUGUUUGCCACUUGACAGGGCCAUGUGGAUAGUUCUCAUCAGUGGAAUGUGAGAGGAAAUGAAAUGUAGUCUCUCAAGACUAAGAAGAUUAAGAAGCUUUCUCUACUUAUUCUUUCUCUGCCCUUCAUCCUGCCUGCAGAGGAAAUCCUACAGCUGGAGGAGCCAUCAGAUUAAAGGAGCCUGGGUUCCUGAAUCACCACAUGGAAGGCUGCCACCAGUCAGGAACAUCUGUAUGGUUAAGUUCCCUCAAGAGCUGGCUCUUAAAAAGAGCCUGGUACCUUCCCCUCGCUCUUGUGCUUCCUUUCUCAUGUCAUGUGAUGCCUGAUCCCUUCCGCCUUCUGUGGUGAGUGGAAACUUCCUGAGGCCCUCAUUAGAAGCAGAUGCUGGUGCCAUGCGUCUUAUACAGCCUGCAGAACUGUGAACCAAAUAUAACCUCUUUCUUUAUAAAUUAUCCAGUCUCAGGUAUUUCUUCAUAGCACUGUGAAUAGACUAAGACAGAGGUGUUGGAGAAUCUAAGACCUGUUCCAUUAGGAACCAAUAGCAUCUAGCACAUGCUACUAGUAUCACCUGGACUUAAAAUCUCCAUGCCCUCUGUCUUCUUUUACCUUCUAUAACCAUUCACUUGCCAACUUAUGUCUAGUCAAUGUACACAGGGUUUUCAUAUCAGUCCUUUCUAAAAUUGCCACCACUUAUUUCAGGCUCUCUCACUGACACCAUAGCAUGAGACUCUGAUAGCCUUUCUAGCCCCAAGGCAUCUUGACAUGCUUGUAGGCUAUUCAUUUUAAACCUAUUUCUCAUCAUAUUUAUUUCUGCUCAUUUCUUCUCAAUGGUUCCCUACUGCAUAUGUAAUUAAAUAUAACCUUAUCCUGGCAUAUUUUAAAAGUAAGCUUUAGCUUGCUUAAUUUUCCAGCAUUAAUUUCUUUCUUUCUUUUUUGAGAUGAAAUCUCAUUCUCUUGCCCAGGCUGGAGAGCAGAGGCACAAUCUCGACUCACUGAA